Molecule: ribosomal RNA, 481 nt
Filed under: uncultured Rhodocyclaceae bacterium
Lineage: Bacteria; Pseudomonadati; Pseudomonadota; Betaproteobacteria; Rhodocyclales; Rhodocyclaceae
Description: bacterial SSU rRNA
Rfam family: Bacterial small subunit ribosomal RNA
Source: RNAcentral
CUACAAAGGAAUUGACGGGACCGCACAAGCGGUGGAUGAUGUGGAUUAAUUCGAUGCAACGCGAAAACCUUACCUACCCUUGACAUGUCCGGAAUCCCGAAGAGAUUUGGGAGUGCUCGCAAGAGAGCCGGAACACAGGUGCUGCAUGGCUGUCGUCAGCUCGUGUCGUAAGAUGUUGGGUUAAGUCCCGCAACGAGCGCAACCCUUGUCAUUAGUUGCCAUCAUUUGGUUGGGCACUCUAAUGAGACUGCCGGUGACAAACCGGAGGAAGGUGGGGAUGACGUCAAGUCCUCAUGGCCCUUAUGGGUAGGGCUUCACACGUCAUACAAUGGUCGGUACAGAGGGUUGCCAACCCGCGAGGGGGAGCUAAUCCCACAAAGCCGAUCGUAGUCCGGAUCGCAGUCUGCAACUCGACUGCGUGAAGUCGGAAUCGCUAGUAAUCGCGGAUCAGCACGCCGCGGUGAAUACGUUCCCGGGCCUU